CGUGUCGUGAGAUGUUGGGUUAAGUCCCGCAACGAGCGCAACCCUCACCCCUUGUUGCCAUCAGGUGACGCUGGGCACUCUAGGGGAACUGCCCCGGUCAACGGGGAGGAAGGUGGGGAUGACGUCAAGUCGUCAUGCCCCUUACGCCCUGGGCUACACACGUGCUACAAUGGCCGGUACAAAGGGAUGCGAGACCGCGAGGUGGAGCCAAACCCAAAAAGCCGGUCUAAGUUCAGAUUGGAGUCUGCAACUCGACUCCAUGAAGGAGGAAUCGCUAGUAAUCGC
This 285-nucleotide ribosomal RNA is filed under the name uncultured Methylomirabilota bacterium. RNAcentral describes it as "uncultured candidate division NC10 bacterium partial 16S ribosomal RNA". It matches the Rfam family "Bacterial small subunit ribosomal RNA", at positions 1061 to 1345 of the family's 1533-position model. Lineage: Bacteria; Methylomirabilota (SeqCode). The record is from RNAcentral.